UUUAUUGAUAAAAGUUAAGUCUUUGACAAACAUAAAUUUGUAUUAUUGUGUAGUGUUCAUUAUUGUUUAACAGAAUGUGGUGAGGUUGAAGCACCAACAAAUGGUACAAUGAAUGUAAGUGGUCUUACAUUUGGAAAUAACGUAACAUUCCAAUGUGAGAAAGGCUUUAAAAUAAAUGGUACGGAGAUGAUUAAAUGUAUGUCAACCGGAAAUUUUUCCGCAAGCGUACCGACUUGCAGUGAAGACAACGACGAUAUUGAUAAUGAUAACAAGGUCAAAGUUUCAAGAAGCAACAAAGAAAGUGGGAGUCUCAUACGAUUAUUAAUGGCAAUUACUAUGACAACCAUGUUGUUGUCGAUUGUAACUUCCUGAAACAACACGUUAAAUCAUACGAAUAGUUAGAAGAUUUUCCAUAAUUUAAGAAUUAUUCAGGCAUAAAAAGGGCAGUAAUAAACUAAUAUUCUUUUUGUGUUAGGUCUUGACAAAACGUUGAUACCAUACUGAGAGACAACGACAACAUAUCAUAGUCGUAUGGAACGCCUUUUUGCCUAAUUAUACCGUAUAAGUACUUAUUUCUGCGGUCUUAAUAUUCUGCGAUUUUUGUUAAAAUAAGGGGAUUUAAAUUUCUGCGUAUCUUAUUUCUGCGGUGUCACCAUUCUCGCAUUGAUGAGUUUUAUUUCUGCGUUUUAACUAAGAUAUUUGUACAAAAUUAACCUAUAAAAACAGACAACAUUUCAAAAUUUGAUGAUGUUACAUUACUUCCACCACUGAUAAUGUGUUUCGUCGUGUUUCAUCAAUAUCUAUCAGUAUUUACAUGUACAAAACAAAUAAGAAAAUAAAAUGCACUGACAAAUUUUAA
Long non-coding RNA from Ruditapes philippinarum (Manila clam), 859 nucleotides. RefSeq lists it as uncharacterized. The transcript has 2 exons. The record is from RefSeq and is a predicted model, not a curated record. NCBI's taxonomy places the organism in Eukaryota, Metazoa, Mollusca, Bivalvia, Venerida, Veneridae.